Molecule: non-coding RNA, 537 nt
Organism: Camellia sinensis
Lineage: Eukaryota; Viridiplantae; Streptophyta; Magnoliopsida; Ericales; Theaceae
Source: RefSeq, a predicted model, not a curated record
UUGGGUUAGUUUUCCGGGCUUGUGGUUGACAGAAAUCACCGCGGAUAUAUACAAAGUUCCUGAAGUUCCUGAAACUGGAAAACAAUAGAAAUUGAUGGAAUUGAUGCUGUUUCUGGAGGCUUGAAGGUUUAUCUGCUUGCUGACCACACUGGUGCAUUGUUGACCUCUUAUUAGUGGUAUACCGCACCAUCUUUGUCGAUUGGGAAUUCGAUGGAAGUGUUGAAUUCCUGGGUAUGAUGUGGUGCAAGCUUUAGUUGACUUAUAAAGCUAAUCUUGUUAAUUAUAAUUAUUUUUAGUCAUGUUUUUUUUUUUUUUUAAUUGGAAUAAAAUUGUACAGAGAAAAAAUGGCAGGAUGUUGCUAGAAGUAAAUGCUUUAAUAUAUUGAACUUGUUUUUAUGAGUAAGCUAUGGCAUUCUGGUCAUGUGUUAUCUUGUUGAUAAACUCCUGAUAUUUGGCUAAAUGCUCAUUUUCAAGCUUUAGGAAGCAUCUAAUGGUGGAAUGUGAUGCUUGGCUAUAUGUCAAAUUUAUAUUUGACAA